CAUGUUGGCCAAGAUGAUCUCGAUCUCCUGACCUUGUGAUCCACCAGCCUCGGCCUCCCAAAGUGUUGGGAUUACAGGCAUGAGCCAUUGCACACAGCCAAGAAUGGAGAAUCUUUCCCAGUCCCAAUUUUAGGGGAAAAAGAUUUAAUAUUUCACUACUGAGUAUGAGUCUGUUGACUUUUUAUAUGGAACCCAAAUCAGAUUGAAGAAGUUUCUUUCUCUUCUGAGAUUGCAAAAAGUUUUUGUCAAAGGAAAACAGCCUGUUCAUUUCAUGGAAGGACGUUUUGGAAAAAUAGAUCCAGACCUACAUAGAAAGGUAUGACAGCUACCUUAAUUCAUCCAUCAAGACCUUUCUUCUUAAUUGUGAAUUACCAACUAUAGAUCAUCAGAGAAUUUAAGAAAAUCGACAAACUAAAUGCAAAGAAACAAGCUAAUGAAAUAGAACAAAUGACUAAAGGAAACAGAAGUAAUUCAAUGAACAUAAGAAAACUUAAAAAAUAUUCUAAUUACAUUCUCAGAAAGAUUUGAGUGCACACUACAUACAUUAGAAGAGAAAAAUAAAGGAAAAUCAGACUGCUAUGAAAACCAAGAUUCAUCAUUUCGCAUUUCUGUAACCAUGAAUGAGGGUGUUUGUUUUCUUAGAACUGUCCAUGUGGAACAUCCUGUCAGCCUCAGCUUUUUAACAAUCAGGAAGAAAGUCACACAACCACAUAUUUUCUGAACAUAAGCUGAACUUCUACUUCCAUGGAGUGAGUUACUUCACCUCAUUGGCAAAAGACAACAGAAGAGUCCAAAGUCUGAGGGGACUGGGCAAGCUUCUGUCACAUGCUUUCAGAAUGAAGACAAUCUGCAAGAAUUUUAAGUUGUGACCUCUACAGAGAAAAGAAUGAAAAGUAGCCAAAUCUCCACAUGAGAGAUUUUGGACUAUUUUGCAGUGUAAACCCCAUCUGAUUUAUAUGAAGUAAGCAGACUUUCUCUCCAAGAGUUCAAAAUAAAUUAAUUCUAAUGCUAAA
RNAcentral lists this long non-coding RNA (1013 nucleotides) under Homo sapiens (human). RNAcentral describes it as "HSALNT0335282". Lineage: Eukaryota; Metazoa; Chordata; Mammalia; Primates; Hominidae. The record is from RNAcentral.